GAUGAACGCUGGCGGCGUGCCUAAUACAUGCAAGUCGAGCGAACAGAUGAGGAGCUUGCUCCACUGACGUUAGCGGCGGACGGGUGAGUAACACGUGGAUAACCUACCUAUAAGACUGGGAUAACUUCGGGAAACCGGAGCUAAUACCGGAUAAUAUAUUGAACCGCAUGGUUCAAUAGUGAAAGACGGUUUUGCUGUCACUUAUAGAUGGAUCCGCGCCGCAUUAGUUAGUUGGUAAGGUAACGGCUUACCAAGGCAACGAAGCGUAGCCGACCUGAGAGGGGGAUGGGCCACACGGGAACUGAGAAACGGCCCAGACUCCUACGGGAGGCAGCAGUGGGGAAUCUUCGGCAAUGGGCAAAAGCCUGACGGAGCAACGCCGCGUGAGUGAUGAAGGUCUUCGGAUCGUAAAACUCUGUUGUUAGGAAAGAAGAAGUGUGUAAGUAACUACGCACGUCGUGACGGUACCUAAUCAGAAAGCCACGGCUAACUACGUG
This 497-nucleotide ribosomal RNA is filed under the name uncultured bacterium. Its description in RNAcentral is "partial 16S ribosomal RNA". It matches the Rfam family "Bacterial small subunit ribosomal RNA", at positions 28 to 507 of the family's 1533-position model. The record is from RNAcentral.